RNAcentral lists this ribosomal RNA (497 nucleotides) under uncultured bacterium. Its description in RNAcentral is "partial 16S ribosomal RNA". It matches the Rfam family "Bacterial small subunit ribosomal RNA", at positions 28 to 507 of the family's 1533-position model. The record is from RNAcentral.
GACGAACGCUGGCGGCGUGCCUAAUACAUGCAAGUAGAACGCUGAAGCGAGGAGCUUACUCUUCUUGGAUGAGUUGCGAACGGGUGAGUAACGCGUAGGUAACCUGCCUUGUAGCGGGGGAUAACUAUUGGAAACGAUAGCUAAUACCGCAUAACAAUGGAUGACACAUGUCAUUUAUUUGAAAGGGGCAAUUGCUCCACUACAAGAUGGACCUGCGUUGUAUUAGCUAGUAGGUGAGGUAAUGGCUCACCUAGGCGACGAUACAUAGCCGACCUGAGAGGGUGAUCGGCCACACUGGGACUGGGACACGGCCCAGACUCCUACGGGAGGCAGCAGUAGGGAAUCUUCGGCAAUGGGGGCAACCCUGACCGAGCAACGCCGCGUGAGUGAAGAAGGUUUUCGGAUCGUAAAGCUCUGUUGUAAGUCAAGAACGGGUGUGAGAGUGGAAAGUUCACACUGUGACGGUAGCUUACCAGAAAGGGACGGCUAACUACGUG